CUGGAGUUGCUAGUAAUCGCGAAUCAGCAUGUCGCGGUGAAUACGUUCCCGGGCCUUGUACACACCGCCCGUCACACCAUGAGAGUUGGCAAUACCCAACGUACGUGAUCUAACCCGCAAGGGAGGAAGCGUCCUAAGGUAGGGUCAGCGAUUGGGGUGAAGUCGUAACAAGGUAUC
RNAcentral lists this ribosomal RNA (177 nucleotides) under uncultured bacterium. RNAcentral describes it as "partial 16S ribosomal RNA". It matches the Rfam family "Bacterial small subunit ribosomal RNA", at positions 1326 to 1500 of the family's 1533-position model. The record is from RNAcentral.